GAUGAACGCUGGCGGCGUGCCUAAUACAUGCAAGUCGAGCGAACAGACGAGGAGCUUGCUCCUCUGACGUUAGCGGCGGACGGGUGAGUAACACGUGGAUAACCUACCUAUAAGACUGGGAUAACUUCGGGAAACCGGAGCUAAUACCGGAUAAUAUAUUGAACCGCAUGGUUCAAUAGUGAAAGACGGUUUUGCUGUCACUUAUAGAUGGAUCCGCGCCGCAUUAGCUAGUUGGUAAGGUAACGGCUUACCAAGGCUACGAUGCGUAGCCGACCUGAGAGGGUGAUCGGCCACACUGGAACUGAGACACGGUCCAGACUCCUACGGGAGGCAGCAGUAGGGAAUCUUCCGCAAAGGGCGAAAGCCUGACGGAGCAACGCCGCGUGAGUGAUGAAGGUCUUCGGAUCGUAAAACUCUGUUAUUAGGGAAGAACAAAUGUGUAAGUUACUAUGCACGUCUUGACGGUACCUAAUCAGAAAGCCACGGCUAACUACGUG
Molecule: ribosomal RNA, 497 nt
Filed under: uncultured bacterium
Lineage: Bacteria
Description: partial 16S ribosomal RNA
Rfam family: Bacterial small subunit ribosomal RNA
Source: RNAcentral